GCCUACAGCCAUACCACCCUGAAAGCGUCUGAUCUCGGAAGCUAAGCAGAGACGGGCCUGGUUAGUACCUGGAUGGGAGACCGCCUGGGAAUACCAGGUGUUGUAGGCU
Molecule: ribosomal RNA, 109 nt
Organism: Xenopus tropicalis (tropical clawed frog)
Lineage: Eukaryota; Metazoa; Chordata; Amphibia; Anura; Pipidae
Source: Ensembl